AUUGAACGCUGGCGGCAGGCUUAACACAUGCAAGUCGAGCGAGGUGAUGGUGCUUGCACUAUCACUUAGCGGCGGACGGGUGAGUAAUGCUUAGGAAUCUGCCUAUUAGUGGGGGACAACAUCUCGAAAGGGAUGCUAAUACCGCAUACGUCCUACGGGAGAAAGCAGGGGAUCACUUGUGACCUUGCGCUAAUAGAUGAGCCUAAGUCGGAUUAGCUAGUUGGUGGGGUAAAGGCCUACCAAGGCGACGAUCUGUAGCGGGUCUGAGAGGAUUACCCGCCACACUGGGACUGAGACACGGUCAAGACUCCUACGAGAGGCAGCAGUGGGGAAUAUUGGACAAUGGGGGGAACCCUGAGCUAGCCAUGCGGCGUGUGUGACGAAGGCCUUAUGGUUGUAAAGCACUGUAAGCGAGGAGGAGGCUCUUUUGGUUAAUACCCAAGAUGAGUGGACGUUACUCGAAGAAUAAGCACCGGCUAACUCUGUGCCAGCCGCCGCCGUAA
Molecule: ribosomal RNA, 503 nt
Filed under: uncultured bacterium
Lineage: Bacteria
Description: partial 16S ribosomal RNA
Rfam family: Bacterial small subunit ribosomal RNA
Source: RNAcentral